GAAACGACUUUCGGCAAUGGAUAUCUCGGUUCUUGCAUCGAUGAAGAGCGCAGCGAAAUGCGAUACGUGGUGCGAAUUGCAGAAUCCCGCGAAC
This 94-nucleotide ribosomal RNA is filed under the name Oncidium vulcanicum. RNAcentral's name for it is "5.8S ribosomal RNA". It matches the Rfam family "5.8S ribosomal RNA", at positions 1 to 89 of the family's 154-position model. From Rfam's summary of the family: 5.8S ribosomal RNA (5.8S rRNA) is a component of the large subunit of the eukaryotic ribosome. It is transcribed by RNA polymerase I as part of the 45S precursor that also contains 18S and 28S rRNA. The record is from RNAcentral. Lineage: Eukaryota; Viridiplantae; Streptophyta; Magnoliopsida; Asparagales; Orchidaceae.